Long non-coding RNA from Mus musculus (house mouse), 1483 nucleotides. RefSeq annotates it as predicted gene, 38555. The transcript is spliced from 4 exons. Lineage: Eukaryota; Metazoa; Chordata; Mammalia; Rodentia; Muridae. The record is from RefSeq and is a predicted model, not a curated record.
UGGAGCCUGAACCCAGCAGUGGAGAGCUGCUGCUGGCAGCCCCUAGCCCUGGUUUUUACCAAUCCAUCUAGACCCUUUCCCUGCCAUUGCCAAUUGUUGUUUUAGGGUCCUUUCCCUAGCCAGCUUUUAUCCACAUUAACCCCACCCACCACGCAGUCCAGGGCAAUAUUCCUGGGACUUUGGCUGGCAGAGAGAAGGGCAGGAAGAGGCCUGACACCGAGGAAAGAAAGAUUUAAUUGACGCUCAAUCAAAGGUAGCACUUGUCUUCAAGCCCAAUCCAGCUCAGACGCGUGCCCCCACCUCCCUGUGGUCGUCUUGCUCUUUGCUGUAGUCUGAUGCCUUCCUUCCCAGAGACAUGAGUGCAGAAAUACAGAGCCUGGGUUCCUGCAAGACUGCAGGUGUAGCAGAAAGGGCCAGGGGCGCCUGAAAACAUAAGACUCUUAGCAGACAACCUGACUGUGAGCCUGGCUUAGAGGCCACCGGAUGGCACGGAGAGUUUCCACGACAGGUAACCCCGUAACUGGCAGGUUCUAGGAUCGUGCCCAACCUGACUACAAAGCUGGGGCUCUUCCCAUGCUGUCCUUCUCUGCCACCACUACAUGGGUAGCUGGUCACUGUGAGCAUGGCAGGAAAAGCUCUCUUGUUAUCCAUUAACCUGGGGUUGGAGAGUCUGAACGACCAGGAUAGUGGUCUAGGCAGAAUCCAGAGCCCUGGCUAGAAACACUCAAUCCUGGGGCCCACAGCCAGCCUGCUCAAAGCGGGAACCAUCAAAAAACGAAGCUUCAAAGAUCCACCACUACCUCCAGAAUCUCCUAGAGCAAAUCAGAAGGGCUGUGGAGGGCAAGAAUGGAGAGUGGAAAGGGACUCUAAAGUCCUGCUGUCCCUAAUGUGCUGUCCCUCCGGAUACACUUCCACAGGAGGUGGCCCUGACAGCCCAGCACACAUUGCAUGUCAGGGGCUUGGCUCUCCAUCCCAGUCUCAGAAAACCAAGUCCCUGCAUAUUCAAAGAGCAGAGUGUCUCAUGCCAAGUCCAGGCAUGCCUCAGGGUGCGAGGACUGCACAGCGAUAUCUCCCACCUCGUGAGUGACUGGAUUUAGAGGAAAUUGGCCUGACCACACAAUUCCGGGCAGAGUCUGGAUAAGCCGCACUCAUCUCUAGGCCACCGUCCAUCUUUGGUCAUCAAGGCUCUUCCGAGAGGGACAAGCAGGAGAUGAUAGUAGAGACCCUAAGCCUUGUAUGCAGAAACAGCAGCAGCAGCAGCAGCAGGAGGAGGAGGCAACUCCAAGAACACCAUGCCUUUAAUAAGCCCAGGCCCAAGGACUUUUGAAUGAAACCUAAAACUACAGUCCAGGGCAGUGUUAUGGCUCAGCAGGACCUCUGCUCGCUCUGGGUCAACUCUGUUCGCUCAGUCCCUGUUUGCUCCAGCCCAGAAAUUUAUUUAUUAUUAUACGUAAGUAUAAUAGUUGACUUCAGACGCACCAGA